GGAGAGGUGGCCGAGUGGCUUAAGGCGACGGAUUGCUAAUCCGUUUUGCGGGGUUACCUGCAACCAGGGUUCAAAUCCCUGCCUCUCCGCUA
This 92-nucleotide transfer RNA is filed under the name Fidelibacterota bacterium. Its description in RNAcentral is "Candidatus Marinimicrobia bacterium tRNA-Ser". It matches the Rfam family "tRNA". Rfam says of the family: Transfer RNA (tRNA) molecules are approximately 80 nucleotides in length. Their secondary structure includes four short double-helical elements and three loops (D, anti-codon, and T loops). Lineage: Bacteria; Pseudomonadati; Fidelibacterota. The record is from RNAcentral.